CCUACGGGGGGCAGCAGUGGGGAAUAUUGGACAAUGGGCGAAAGCCUGAUCCAGCCAUGCCGCGUGUGUGAAGAAGGCCUUCGGGUUGUAAAGCACUUUCUGUGGGGAAGAAAGCCUUGGGGCUAAUACCCUCGAGGAAGGACAUCACCCACAGAAGAAGCACCGGCUAACUCCGUGCCAGCAGCCGCGGUAAUACGGAGGGUGCGAGCGUUAAUCGGAAUUACUGGGCGUAAAGCGCGCGUAGGCGGUCUGAUAAGCCGGUUGUGAAAGCCCCGGGCUCAACCUGGGAACGGCAUCCGGAACUGUCAGGCUAGAGUGCAGGAGAGGAAGGUAGAAUUCCCGGUGUAGCGGUGAAAUGCGUAGAGAUCGGGAGGAAUACCAGUGGCGAAGGCGGCCUUCUGGACUGACACUGACGCUGAGGUGCGAAAGCGUGGGUAGCAAACAGGAUUAGAUACCCGGGUAGUC
RNAcentral lists this ribosomal RNA (465 nucleotides) under Vreelandella stevensii. Its description in RNAcentral is "partial 16S ribosomal RNA". It matches the Rfam family "Bacterial small subunit ribosomal RNA", at positions 338 to 795 of the family's 1533-position model. The record is from RNAcentral. Lineage: Bacteria; Pseudomonadati; Pseudomonadota; Gammaproteobacteria; Oceanospirillales; Halomonadaceae.